GUCGAGCGAACAGAUAAGGAGCUUGCUCCUUUGACGUUAGCGGCGGACGGGUGAGUAACACGUGGGUAACCUACCUAUAAGACUGGGAUAACUUCGGGAAACCGGAGCUAAUACCGGAUAACAUUUGGAACCGCAUGGUUCUAAAGUGAAAGAUGGUUUUGCUAUCACUUAUAGAUGGACCCGCGCCGUAUUAGCUAGUUGGUAAGGUAACGGCUUACCAAGGCAACGAUACGUAGCCGACCUGAGAGGGUGAUCGGCCACACUGGAACUGAGACACGGUCCAGACUCCUACGGGAGGCAGCAGUAGGGAAUCUUCCGCAAUGGGCGAAAGCCUGACGGAGCAACGCCGCGUGAGUGAUGAAGGGUUUCGGCUCGUAAAACUCUGUUAUUAGGGAAGAACAAAUGUGUAAGUAACUGUGCACAUCUUGACGGUACCUAAUCAGAAAGCCACGGCUAACUACGUGCCAGCAGCCGCGGUAAUACGUAGGUGGCAAGCGUUAUCCGGAAUUAUUGGGCGUAAAGCGCGCGUAGGCGGUUUCUUAAGUCUGAUGUGAAAGCCCACGGCUCAACCGUGGAGGGUCAUUGGAAACUGGGAAACUUGAGUGCAGAAGAGGAAAGUGGAAUUCCAUGUGUAGCGGUGAAAUGCGCAGAGAUAUGGAGGAACACCAGUGGCGAAGGCGACUUUCUGGUCUGUAACUGACGCUGAUGUGCGAAAGCGUGGGGAUCAAACAGGAUUAGAUACCCUGGUAGUCCACGCCGUAAACGAUGAGUGCUAAGUGUUAGGGGGUUUCCGCCCCUUAGUGCUGCAGCUAACGCAUUAAGCACUCCGCCUGGGGAGUACGACCGCAAGGUUGAAACUCAAAGGAAUUGACGGGGACCCGCACAAGCGGUGGAGCAUGUGGUUUAAUUCGAAGCAACGCGAAGAACCUUACCAAAUCUUGACAUCCUUUGAAAACUCUAGAGAUAGAGCCUUCCCCUUCGGGGGACAAAGUGACAGGUGGUGCAUGGUUGUCGUCAGCUCGUGUCGUGAGAUGUUGGGUUAAGUCCCGCAACGAGCGCAACCCUUAAGCUUAGUUGCCAUCAUUAAGUUGGGCACUCUAGGUUGACUGCCGGUGACAAACCGGAGGAAGGUGGGGAUGACGUCAAAUCAUCAUGCCCCUUAUGAUUUGGGCUACACACGUGCUACAAUGGACAAUACAAAGGGCAGCUAAACCGCGAGGUCAUGCAAAUCCCAUAAAGUUGUUCUCAGUUCGGAUUGUAGUCUGCAACUCGACUACAUGAAGCUGGAAUCGCUAGUAAUCGUAGAUCAGCAUGCUACGGUGAAUACGUUCCCGGGUCUUGUACACACCGCCCGUCACACCACGAGAGUUUGUAACACCCGAAGCCGGUGGAGUAACCAUUUAUGGAGCUAG
This 1412-nucleotide ribosomal RNA is filed under the name Staphylococcus xylosus. RNAcentral's name for it is "bacterial SSU rRNA". It matches the Rfam family "Bacterial small subunit ribosomal RNA". The record is from RNAcentral. Lineage: Bacteria; Bacillati; Bacillota; Bacilli; Caryophanales; Staphylococcaceae.